GAAGCUGCUCCGGCCUGCUCUGCGCAGCAGUGUCUGUGAGAGGUGCCACAGGAUUACAUAGAGGAGCUGGGAACACCCAGUGCCCAAGGCAUAGUUUAUCAAAAAGUAGCACUAAAUGUAGGUGAAGAUUAUAGUUCCUUUCACUUACUAAGCUCCUUAUUUUGAAGCAGUGGAUAGCAUGUGGCUACAUUUCUUCACCUGUCUCGGCAUUUCUGGACUGGCUCUGGUCUUUGCACAAAGACCAGAUGUUGAUGAUUCCAAAAAGGAUGAGGAGUUUCAACAAAAUCCUGACUCCAGCCAACCGCACAGGAGUGUUCAUAAGCCACCAAAGCCUGCUGGUGAUGCCCAUUUUGUGGCUUCCUUUGACACAGAUGGUUUUGAAGGGUGGGUAGUAUCUGAAGCUGCAAACGACGAUACCAGUGACAACAGAUAUGAAGGAAUGUGGGCUGUAGAAGAAUCUUAUAACCAGAAAAUCCCAGGAAACAAAGGACUCGUGCUGAAAUCCCGUGCCAAACAUCACGCUAUUGCUGCAAAUUUGCAGAAACCCUUCCCUUUCAAAAACAAGCCUCUCAUUGUGCAGUAUGAAGUACAUUUCCAGGAUGGGAUUCAGUGUGGGGGUGCAUAUCUGAAGUUGCUGUCUGAAGAUGAUCAGCUUGAUCUGAAAAAGUUCUUUGACAAAACCCCUUACACCAUCAUGUUUGGACCAGACAAGUGUGGCCACAACUACAAAUUGCACUUCAUAUUCAGACAUAGGGAUCCAGUAACAGGUGCAUUUGAGGAGAAGCAUGCCAGGAAACCGGACGUGGACCUCCAAAGUUACUUCACCGAUAAAAGACCUCACCUGUACACACUGAUUGUGAGACCAGACAACAGCUACGAGAUACGAAUUGAUGAAAUAUCUGUGAGUAAAGGAAGCUUCUUUCAUGACAUGACUCCAUCUGUCAACCCUCCCAAAGAGAUUGGAGAUCCCAGCCAUCAAAAACCUGAAGACUGGGAUGACAGGCCUCAGAUAGCCGACCCAGAGUCAGUGAAACCCAAUGACUGGGAUGAGGAUGCUCCCCGCAAUAUCCCAGAUCCCACUGCUGAGAAGCCUGAUAACUGGCUGGAUGAGGAACCAGAAUACAUUCCAGAUCCUGGAUCUAAGAAACCUUCAGAUUGGGAUGUAGAAAUGGAUGGUGAAUGGGAAGAACCAAGGAUCCCAAACCCUCUGUGUAAGACUGCGGGCUGUGGAACUUGGACACACCCCAUAAUCGCCAAUCCUGACUACAGGGGCAAGUGGAAGGCACCAAUGAUUGACAAUCCCAAAUAUAAGGGAGCAUGGAUACCUCGAACGAUACCUAAUCCAAACUAUUUUGAGGAUACAAACCCAUUUGAAAUGACUUCAAUCGGUGCAAUUGGACUGGAGCUCUGGUCACUCACUGCCAACAUUAUGUUUGACAAUUUUAUUGUCUCAUCCGAUGAGGAGGUUGUCAAGCAAUGGGUGAAAGACACGUGGGCAAAAACAAAAGCAGCCUACAAUGCAGAUGAACCUGGUUUAAUUAUGCAGCUCUUUAUGGCAGCAGACAAGCGUCCGUGGCUCUGGGGAGUCUACAUAUUCACAGUUGCCCUUCCAGUUAUCUUAUUCAUCAGCUUAUAUUGGCCAAAUGUGCGGUUUGGGCACCCUGAUAAUUAUUACUACAAGAAGACAGAUGAUGUGCAGUUUGGUGAUGAAGAAAAACUGGUUACAAAAGAGUCAGGUAACCUCAAUACUCAGGUAACCCUUCACAUGUUCAACAAGUUAAUGAAGAGGAGACUAAUGGGAUGAGAAAACAAAGUGCCCUGAGAGAAAUGAAAGCAGAUUUGGAAAUAUCUGCACAGGCUAUUCCUAGGGACACAUUUUGAGACAGACAUCAAGUGCUGCUGGAAGAUGCACUUUAGUCUGCCCAAAACAUUUACCAACUGCCCAUUCCAGAUUUCAAGAGUACGGGCUGAAGGACAUACUGAAGUUUGGUGCAGACAACACAGGCUCUGUAGAGGAGGACCACUAUCUAAGGUCUCCGCUGCCAGACAUUGAGGGGCAGAGUCCGAUGAGGAAACCCCACGGACAAAGGGCGGGGAUAUCAUCCCAGGGAGCCACAUGAGUGGCAAGGGUGUUUUCCUUACAGAAAAGUGCAAACAUCACUGAGUAUGACACUACACUGAAAAUCUAUGAAGGGUUUUUGCAGUUUUUGUUUUGUAUAUUUUUUUUUUCUGGUUUAUUUU
RNA transcript from Amblyraja radiata (thorny skate), 2241 nucleotides. It is a transcript of the gene named calnexin, with no coding region annotated. NCBI's taxonomy places the organism in Eukaryota, Metazoa, Chordata, Chondrichthyes, Rajiformes, Rajidae. The record is from RefSeq and is a predicted model, not a curated record. The transcript has 15 exons.